GGGGUCAUAGCUCAGUUGGUAGAGCAUCUCGUUCGCAAUGAGAAGGUCUGGGGUUCGAAUCCCCAUGGCUCCACCA
Molecule: transfer RNA, 76 nt
Filed under: Verrucomicrobiota bacterium
Lineage: Bacteria; Pseudomonadati; Verrucomicrobiota
Description: tRNA-Ala
Rfam family: tRNA
About the family: Transfer RNA (tRNA) molecules are approximately 80 nucleotides in length. Their secondary structure includes four short double-helical elements and three loops (D, anti-codon, and T loops). Further hydrogen bonds mediate the characteristic L-shaped molecular structure. tRNAs have two regions of fundamental functional importance: the anti-codon, which is responsible for specific mRNA codon recognition, and the 3' end, to which the tRNAs corresponding amino acid is attached (by aminoacyl-tRNA synthetases). tRNAs cope with the degeneracy of the genetic code in two manners: having more than one tRNA (with a specific anti-codon) for a particular amino acid; and 'wobble' base-pairing, i.e. permitting non-standard base-pairing at the 3rd anti-codon position.
Source: RNAcentral